Oribacterium sinus F0268 is the source of this 184-nucleotide regulatory RNA element. It matches the Rfam family "Ribosomal protein L10 leader". From Rfam's summary of the family: This family is a putative r-protein leader autoregulatory structure found in B. subtilis and other low-GC Gram-positive bacteria. It is located in the 5' untranslated regions of mRNAs encoding ribosomal proteins L10 and L12 (rplJ-rplL). NCBI's taxonomy places the organism in Bacteria, Bacillati, Bacillota, Clostridia, Lachnospirales, Lachnospiraceae. The record is from Rfam.
GUAUCUGCAAGGUAUUAACCGAAGACAGCAGGUAUCUAAGCUUUCGAACUGGUUUUGCAGUUUUUCUGCGACAGUAAGAAGGACAGGAUGUAAAGAGAAAUCGCCCGCCGAGGAAAGAGCUAGGAUUUAUCCUAUUAUGUGCGUUCAUCCCUUGUCUUUGGCAAGGGAUUUUUUAUUCUUCUAA